RNAcentral lists this ribosomal RNA (209 nucleotides) under uncultured Lactobacillales bacterium. Its description in RNAcentral is "partial 16S ribosomal RNA". It matches the Rfam family "Bacterial small subunit ribosomal RNA", at positions 568 to 775 of the family's 1533-position model. The record is from RNAcentral. Lineage: Bacteria; Bacillati; Bacillota; Bacilli; Lactobacillales.
AGCGCAGGCGGUGACUUAAGUCUGAUGUGAAAGCCCACGGCUCAACCGUGGAAGGUCAUUGGAAACUGGGUCACUUGAAUAUAGAAGAGGAAAGUGGAAUUCCAUGUGUAGCGGUGAAAUGCGUAGAUAUAUGGGGGGAACACCAGUGGCGAAGGCGACUUUCUGGUCUAUUAUUGACGCUGAGGCUCGAAAGCAUGGGUAGUAAACAG